This 406-nucleotide ribosomal RNA is filed under the name uncultured bacterium. Its description in RNAcentral is "partial 16S ribosomal RNA". It matches the Rfam family "Bacterial small subunit ribosomal RNA", at positions 29 to 526 of the family's 1533-position model. The record is from RNAcentral.
AUCGAACGCUGGCGGCAGGCUUAACACAUGCAAGUCGAGCGAGCGGCGGACGGGUGAGUAAUGUCUGGGAAACUGCCUGAUGGAGGGGGCUAAAUACUGGAAACGGUAGCUAAUACCGCAUACUUUCAGAUGUGCCCAGAUGGGAUUAGCUAGCAGGUGGGGUAAUGGCUCACCUAGGAGACGAUCCCUAGCUGGUCUGAGAGGAUCAGCAGGCACACGGGAACUGAGACACGGCCCAGACUCCUACGGGGGGCAGCAGUGGGGAAUAUUGCACAAGGGGCGCAAGCCGGAUGCAGCAAUGCCGCGUGUGUGAAGAAGGCGUUCGGGUUGUAAAGCACUUUCAGCUAGGAGGCGUUACUCGCAGAAGAAGCACCGGCUAACUCCGUGCCAGCAGCCGCGGUAAUAC